UGUCUUAUAGUUGAAGCAAACAAUAUUAAGUUGCAGCCUUAAAGGUAUGAUUUUCAUUAAGAUUU
RNAcentral lists this transfer RNA (65 nucleotides) under Ennucula tenuis. RNAcentral's name for it is "tRNA-Cys". Lineage: Eukaryota; Metazoa; Mollusca; Bivalvia; Nuculida; Nuculidae. The record is from RNAcentral.